UUGUGAAAUUACAAAGAAAGAAUUGGAGGACAGUCAAGAAAGCAAUAGCGAGAAAGGUCCCGAUAUAAUUCCACUGUCAAUUGAAACAGAUGUAUUUUACACCAGUCGAAUCUCAGAAGAAUCAAUUUACCAUAAGAAGGAUUCUCCCUCUCCGAAAUAUAUUCGUGAGAAAUACACAGAUACAGUGCUGUAAAGAUGAAGUCCCGGCGUAAAAGUUGAAUUGAAAGUCCUCUCAGUGCAUUAAGCAUGGUUGCAAGAUGCAUCGCAAUGCCAUGAUUUGCCGAGGCGUCCAAUACGUACAAUCUUACAGACUUCCAUAUUGUUUUGUUGCGUGAAUAUUCAUGCUAAUAUAUAUAUCCAGAAUUAUACAUAUUUUCUGUAUACAGCGCAUGUUAAAGAAUUGAUUACUCUAUUUCAAGAAUACACUGAUUAAUGUAUCUGCAAGAGGUGAAACUUAAUUAAUUCGCAUCGAAGAAAACUAAUGGCAAACUCUUGGAUAUACAGGAAAACGUACAAGAUGUGAGAGAAUUUGCUCAAUUUCUAAAUGUGGAGAGCUUGUGAAAGUAGCUGAAAGUAGUAAAAAAAUUAUUAUAACCAACACAAAUGAAAUGAUGUAUUUAUUUUUUAUAACAUUUUGAUACUCUCAAAACACUUAAAAUUUUAUUAUAAUACGGACAAGAAUAUGAUAAAAUGUAUCUUAAUAAAAGAAUAAGCAAAAAAGCUUUACAAGAGCACCAAAAAUACUAUAAUUUGAUAAUUACUUAUGCUGAAAUUACAAAUUAAAUAUGAUUUUAGCAGAUAUGCUGUUUAGUACUAAAUUUGGAAUAUUGAGAAAGCUACUCUACUGGACUGUAAAUUUGGGAAGUAUGUUAUUCAUUGCUAUAUUCAGCUUUAUCUAUCUUCCAUGUAUUCAGUGAAAGAUUCUCCCGUUUUCCAGGUUGUACCAGCAGUGCUCUUCAGUGAUGUUGUUUUGCUUUUCAAUUUUAUAAAGCAAAAGAUGAUUUAUCCUUCUUUGCGACCACUAGUGUUUACUUUUUGUUUCUCAAAUAAUAAAAAUAACUAUUUUAUUCGGUGACAUCUUAUACGAAAAUAAGAACUUGUUGUUUUCGUGUUUGUGUUUAACCAGUUUACGUCUAAAACAUAGAGAGGCAUAAAAACUGAUACGUUAAGAAAUUCGAAAAUGAUGACCAUAAAUUUAAUUUUUGAAAUACUGUUCAAAAUGUUUCAUUAUUUUCAAACAAACGAAACUUCGGGA
This is a long non-coding RNA of Parasteatoda tepidariorum (common house spider), 1255 nucleotides long. NCBI's taxonomy places the organism in Eukaryota, Metazoa, Arthropoda, Arachnida, Araneae, Theridiidae. The record is from RefSeq and is a predicted model, not a curated record.